Long non-coding RNA from Lucilia cuprina (Australian sheep blowfly), 556 nucleotides. RefSeq lists it as uncharacterized. Lineage: Eukaryota; Metazoa; Arthropoda; Insecta; Diptera; Calliphoridae. The record is from RefSeq and is a predicted model, not a curated record. The transcript has 2 exons.
UUUUAAUAUUUUUAGGUAAUGUUGUUUUAUUACGUUUUAGUUGAAUUUUUUUUCGAAUGUCUACUGGCAGUUGCUAAGAUUUCCGUAUUCAGGAGGUUUAAUAGAGUUCAUGGCAAUAAUUAUGUUCGUCUUUUUAUAUGAGGGGAAAUGGUCCUAGUAAUUCCAAAGUUUGGAACCUCCCUGUUUACAAAAUGUGCACUCAGAAGAAAGUGGUCCAGCAACGAGUCUCCAUUGGGGUAAGACGGCCUAAUAUCACAAAGUCGGGUAACUUCUAAUGAAGCCAAUUGUACAAAGUUUUUCCAUUCAUAUUUUCGGUGUGAUCACCCUUGGAUGUGUUCUUGGCGUUGAAAUCACCCCCCGAGAAUCAGACCAUCGAAACAGAUUGCUGUCUCAGGAAUCACGCUCAGUCCGACAGUCAAGGAUUCGCAAGAUAGAUUUUUAGGAAUGUAAACGAACCCAAUUAGAAUUCUCUCGAGUCGGCUGUUCUUAUUGAUUUUAUUUUUAAUAAAAUUAGUUUAAAAUUGGUUGAUAUCAAUAAAUACUUUUUCAAAUUAAA